Molecule: ribosomal RNA, 478 nt
Filed under: Candida albicans
Lineage: Eukaryota; Fungi; Ascomycota; Pichiomycetes; Serinales; Debaryomycetaceae
Description: eukaryotic LSU rRNA
Rfam family: 5.8S ribosomal RNA (bases 111-264)
Source: RNAcentral
CUUUUUGAAACAAACUUGCUUUGGCGGUGGGCCCAGCCUGCCGCCAGAGGUCUAAACUUACAACCAAUUUUUUAUUAACUUGUCACACCAGAUUAUUACUUAAUAGUCAAAACUUUCAACAACGGAUCUCUUGGUUCUCCCAUCAAUAAAAAACGCACCGAAAUGCGAUACGUAAUAUGAAUUGCAAAUAUUCGUGAAUCAUCAAAUCUUUGAACGCACAUUGCGCCCUCUGGUAUUCCGGAGGGCAUGCCUGUUUGAGCGUCGUUUCUCCCUCAAACCGCUGGGUUUGGGGUUGAGCAAUACAACUUGGGUUUGCUUGAAAAACGGUAGUGGUAAGGCGGGAUCGCUUUGACAAUGGCUUAGGUCUAACCAAAAACAUUGCUUGCGGCGGUAACGUCCACCACGUAUAUCUUCAAACUUUGACCUCAAAUCAGGUAGGACUACCCGCUGAACUUAACCAUAUCAUUAACCGAAGAAA